GAUGAACGCUGGCGGCGUGCCUAACACAUGCAAGUCGAGGGAACAGACGAGGAGCUUGCACCUCCGACGUUAGCGGCGGACGGUAGAGUAACACGUUGAUAACUAACCUAUACGACUGGGAUAACUUCGUGAAACCGGAGCUAAUACCGGAGUAUAUAUUCAACCAUAUUGUUGCAUAGUGAAAGACGGUUUUGUUUUCACUUAAAGAUGGAUCCGCGCCGCUUUAGCUAGUUGGAAAGGUAACGGCUUACCAACGCUACGAGGCGUAUCCGACCUGAGGGGGUGGUCGGCCCCCCUAGAACUGAGCCGCGGUACAGACUCCUCCGGGAGGCAGCGGAAGGGAGUGUUCCACAAUGGGCGGGAGGGUGACGGAGCCCAGCCACGUGAGUGAUGAGAAUCUUGCGAUAGUAAUACUCUGUUAUUAGUGAAGAGCAAAUGUGUAAAUAACGAUGCACGUCUUGACGGUACCUUAUCAGAAAGCCACGGCUAACUACGUG
RNAcentral lists this ribosomal RNA (497 nucleotides) under uncultured bacterium. Its description in RNAcentral is "partial 16S ribosomal RNA". It matches the Rfam family "Bacterial small subunit ribosomal RNA", at positions 28 to 507 of the family's 1533-position model. The record is from RNAcentral.